GAUGAAGAACGCAGCGAAAUGCGAUAAGUAAUGUGAAUUGCAGAAUUCAGUGAAUCAUCGAAUCUUUGAACGCACAUUGCGCCCGCCAGUAUUCUGGCGGGCAUGCCUGUCUGAGCGUCAUUUCAACCCUCAUGCCCCUAGGGCGUGGUGUUGGGGAUCGGCCAAAGCCCGCGAGGGACGGCCGGCCCCUAAAUCUAGUGGCGGACCCGCCGUGGCCUCCUCUGCGAAGUAGUGAUAUUCCGCAUCGGAGAGCGACGAGCCCCUGCCGUUAAACCCCCAACUUUCCAAGGUUGACCUCAGAUCAGGUAGGAAUACCCGCUGAACUUAAGCAUAUCAAUAAGCGGAGGA
This 348-nucleotide unclassified non-coding RNA is filed under the name soil metagenome. Its description in RNAcentral is "partial contains 5.8S ribosomal RNA, internal transcribed spacer 2, and large subunit ribosomal RNA". The stretch from base 1 to 120 matches the Rfam family "5.8S ribosomal RNA", at positions 35 to 154 of the family's 154-position model. The record is from RNAcentral.